This is a long non-coding RNA of Musa acuminata AAA Group (dessert banana), 835 nucleotides long. RefSeq lists it as uncharacterized. The record is from RefSeq and is a predicted model, not a curated record. The transcript is spliced from 2 exons. NCBI's taxonomy places the organism in Eukaryota, Viridiplantae, Streptophyta, Magnoliopsida, Zingiberales, Musaceae.
GAUCAACUCCUACUCCAAUAAUUAAGAAACAAAUGAAAGUAGAUUGUUCUAAAUAAAUAGAAGACGAGCGAUGGGUGCGUGCAACUUGAGCAUCAUAACUUGAACCCAUACCGGUCCGGCCCGGCCCAACUCUCUCGGUUGAUGCACACACAAACCCAAACCCUAAACCAGAACGGUCGAUGAGAAACCCUCAUUCCUGGACUCCAUAGCCGCUCUCUCCUCCUCCUCCCCCAGACCCUUCGUUGCUCGCUCACCCGCCCAUGUUCCUCCCCGUCUUUCCACGUUGCUGGGUACGCACUGCGCGCGUCCUCUCUUGCUCCAACAUGAAGCGAGGGAGCUAUUUCGUCUCGGUCACCACUGAAGCACUCGAGUGGGUGCUUAGGUAAGUGUAGCCAAGUCGCGGCAAGUGGAGGUGCUCCCUUGGCAACAUCAAGCUUUUGCUCGAGCGAUCACCCGGUGAUGGAGCUCUUGGGCUUGGAUAAGCAUAGAGGGAAGGAAGAAAAGCCCUCCAUGACACUGGGUGGAAGAGGAAGAGUGAAGGGAGGAAGCACGUUCUUUGGGCUGUCCACAACCUCGUUGCCAGAAGCAAACGAUUUUGCCAAUGCGGUCUGUUGCUUGUUUAGUCCUUCCAUGAUGAAUGAGAAGGCUCCAAAGGUGAGGCAGCUCUGAAGCAAAGCAUGGGGUGCCCCUGGAAGACAAUAAAAAGUGUCAGAAACAAAGAAAAUGUAGUGAACCGAAGCAAAUUUAUUUGCAAGCUUCAUUCAUGUAAGAUCUAUGGCUGUAACCCUCUUCAGUUCAGAGAUUACACAGACCAAAAUUUGGUCUUUAUUUUUCA